This 1391-nucleotide long non-coding RNA is filed under the name Heterocephalus glaber (naked mole-rat). Its description in RNAcentral is "lncRNA (ENSHGLG00000042273.1)". The record is from RNAcentral. Lineage: Eukaryota; Metazoa; Chordata; Mammalia; Rodentia; Bathyergidae.
CGCCCCGCCAGCCCCAGCCGCUCUCUGAGUGGCUAGAAGGCGCCUCGCGGCUUGCGGGACCACUAUGCAUCACUUCCGGGGCGUGUCCCGUCCGGGGAGCUAGACAAUCCGUGGAGCUUGGGUUGCGCGUUUGUCCUGAAAGAAGGCCUGGGGUUCUCGGUCAGAGUAAGGCUUGAGUCGAAGCCUGCAGACUCGCUGCCGGCUAGGGCAGAAGAGCAGGGCGUCCAGGGCGUCUCAGGGGCUCCGCCAGCGAGGGCCUGCGAUUGCUAUUCCCGGCGCCGGGGACCCAGGGGCCGGCAAGCGGGCGGGCGGGCAGCGAGGCAUGCCGGGAGCUGUAGUCUGUCUCCUCGAUCACCGCGAGUAGGUGCCAGUCUGCGUGGUUCGCGGACAGCGAGGGGCUUGGGCGUUUUCCAGGCGGGCUGCGGUCAUCAGAAGCAGAAGGACUCAUGCUGGUAGCAAAACCUCUUUCAUCUCCGAAGGGGGAGCAACUAGAAUCCCGAGUGCGCCCUUCCCGUACCGUCCAGUGUUGGCUGAAUUGGAGGGGAUCUGCCUGCCUCCCUUGAGAUUGAACUUCGGAAUGAAAUGUAAGGCUUUGCACCAUAGAAUGAACUUUGCAGAAUCUGCUUGUUAUCAGAGACUACUCUGGCCUAACUCAACUUUUUACAAAUAAAGUGAUCUGCCCAGGGUCCCCCAGCAUGUUCUUGGUAGUGUGAGAACUACAACUCGAGCGCUUUUGCUUGCUCUAAAACACCGUGUUGCCUCUCACUAGGGAAUAUAAACUUGUGGUCAUGUGACAGACGUGAAGCAUUUGAUCAGUGAUCUUAUUUUGGUUCUUAUGCGCGCAUUUUUUUCUUAACAGUACGUUGGUCAGGAGAUUUCGUUAAAAUAGUAUAUAUCAGUGGUAGGACAUUUACAGAUGUUUAAAUACAUCAUGAAUUUAAGGAAAAACUUGAAGAAGAUGGGCGUGAAUAGCAAGAUACAAUUUAUAUACACUUUUUAAAGGGAUCGAACUCAGGACCUUGGGCUUGCGAUACCAAACAGACUCUUAACUCAGUCGAUUAACUGUGCAAGGUGGAGGUCAUCAGGACAGCAGUAAUAUGCGGAAGCUGACUCUGCAGGGGUGAAGGCAGCCUCACCAAACUGCCACAGGGAGACAGUUCAGAGCCAGGAUCCGAUGCCAGAGUCUACGAGCAGCUCCACCAGCCUGAAGAGACACAGGAACAUCGUUCAGACCUGCAAGAGACUUCACAGCUGAUCACAGUAGUCCUGCGUCCUACAGCACAGGAACUUUACACAUGUAUAAACUGAGAUAGAGUGCUAUGAAUGUGUCAUCAAAUGACAAUAAGGGGAAAUCGUUGGGUCCAUUUAAUUCUUUGCUUCGUAUGUUAUAG